GAAACCGGAGCUAAUACAGGAUAAUAUAUUGAACCGCAUGGUUCAAUAGUGAAAGACGGUUUUGCUGUCACUUAUAGAUGGAUCCGCGCCGCAUUAGCUAGUUGGUAAGGUAACAGCUUACCAAGGCAACGAUGCGUAGCCGACCUGAGAGGGUGAUCGGCCACACUGGAACUGAGACACGGUCCAG
RNAcentral lists this ribosomal RNA (187 nucleotides) under uncultured Staphylococcus sp. RNAcentral describes it as "partial 16S ribosomal RNA". It matches the Rfam family "Bacterial small subunit ribosomal RNA", at positions 153 to 334 of the family's 1533-position model. The record is from RNAcentral. Lineage: Bacteria; Bacillati; Bacillota; Bacilli; Caryophanales; Staphylococcaceae.